AUUGAACGCUGGCGGCAGGCCUAACACAUGCAAGUCGAACGGUAGCACAGAGAGCUUGCUCUCGGGUGACGAGUGGCGGACUGGUGAGUAACGUCUGGGAAACUGCCCGAUGGAGGGGGAUAACUACUGGAAACGGUAGCUAAUACCGCAUAACGUCGCAAGACCAAAGUGGGGGACCUUCGGGCCUCACACCAUCGGAUGUGCCCAGAUGGGAUUAGCUAGUAGGUGGGGUAAUGGCUCACCUAGGCGACGAUCCCUAGCUGGUCUGAGAGGGUGACCAGCCACACGGGAACUGGGAAACGGUCCAGACGCCUACGGGAGGCAGCAGUGGGGAAUAUUGCACAAUGGGCGAAAGCCUGAUGCAGCCAUGCCGCGUGUAUGAAGAAGGCCUUCGGGUUGUAAAGUACUUUCAGCGGGGAGGAAGGCGGUGAAGUUAAUAGCUUCACCGAUUGACGUUACCCGCAGAAGAAGCACCGGCUAACUCCGUGCCAGCCGCCGCGGUAA
RNAcentral lists this ribosomal RNA (504 nucleotides) under uncultured bacterium. RNAcentral describes it as "partial 16S ribosomal RNA". It matches the Rfam family "Bacterial small subunit ribosomal RNA", at positions 29 to 523 of the family's 1533-position model. The record is from RNAcentral.